AAAACUUUCAACAACGGAUCUCUUGGUUCUCGCAUCGAUGAAGAACGCAGCAAAUUGCGAUAAGUAAUGUGAAUUGCAGGAUUUUGUGAAUCAUCGAAUUUUUGAACGCACAUUGC
RNAcentral lists this ribosomal RNA (116 nucleotides) under Lipomyces okinawensis. RNAcentral describes it as "5.8S ribosomal RNA". It matches the Rfam family "5.8S ribosomal RNA", at positions 1 to 114 of the family's 154-position model. From Rfam's summary of the family: 5.8S ribosomal RNA (5.8S rRNA) is a component of the large subunit of the eukaryotic ribosome. It is transcribed by RNA polymerase I as part of the 45S precursor that also contains 18S and 28S rRNA. Functionally, it is thought that 5.8S rRNA may be involved in ribosome translocation. The record is from RNAcentral. Lineage: Eukaryota; Fungi; Ascomycota; Lipomycetes; Lipomycetales; Lipomycetaceae.